GUCCACGCCGUAAACGAUGGGAACUAGGUGUGGGAGGUGUCGACUCCUCCCGUGCCGUCGCUAACGCAUUAAGUUCCCCGCCUGGGGAGUACGGCCGCAAGGCUAAAACUCAAAGGAAUUGACGGGGGCCCGCACAAGCAGCGGAGCAUGUGGUUUAAUUCGAUGCAACGCGAAGAACCUUACCUGGGUUUGAAAUGUUGGUGACCGGUGUGGAAACACACCUUUCCUUCGGGACACCAUCACAGGUGGUGCAUGGCUGUCGU
RNAcentral lists this ribosomal RNA (263 nucleotides) under uncultured bacterium. Its description in RNAcentral is "partial 16S ribosomal RNA". It matches the Rfam family "Bacterial small subunit ribosomal RNA", at positions 793 to 1055 of the family's 1533-position model. The record is from RNAcentral.